AAUCUUUGAACGCACAUUGCGCCCCUUGGCAUUCCGAGGGGCAUGCCUGUUCGAGCGUCAUUACAACCCUCAAGCUCUGCUUGGUAUUGGGCUUCGUCCUCAUCGGACGUGCCUCAAAGGCCUCGGCGGUGGCGUCUUGCCCUCAAGCGUAGUAAAACUUUCUCGCUUUGGAGGUCGGGGCGCCCCCCGCCGGACGAACCUUUUUACUUCUAUCAAGGUUGACCUCGGAUCAGGUAGGGAUACCCGCUGAACUUAAGCAUAUCAAUAAGCGGAGGAAAAGAAACCAACAGGGAUUGCCUCAGUAACGGCGAGUGAAGCGGCAACAGCUCAAAUUUGAAAUCUGGCCCUUUCAGGGUCCGAGUUGUAAUUUGUAGAGGAUGUUUCGGCGAGUGCUCCCGUCUAAGUUCCUUGGAACAGGACGUCAUAGAGGGUGAGAAUCCCGUAUGUGAUGGGUUGCGCGAGCCAUGUGAAACUCCUUCGACGAGUCGAGUUGUUUGGGAAUGCAGCUCUAAAUGGGAGGUAAAUUUCUUCUAAAGCUAAAUACCGGCCAGAGACCGAUAGCGCACAAGUAGAGUGAUCGAAAGAUGAAAAGCACUUUGGAAAGAGAGUUAAAAAGUACGUGAAAUUGUUGAAAGGGAAGCGCUUGCAACCAGACUUGCUCGCAGUUGCUCAACCCGCCUCCUGGUGGGUGUACUCUUCUGCGGUCAGGCCAGCAUCAGUUCGAGCGGUCGGAUAAAGGCGCCGGGAAUGUAGCUCCUCUCGGGGAGUGUUAUAGCCCGGCGUGGAAUGCGACCUGCUCGGACUGAGGAUCUCGCU
This 816-nucleotide ribosomal RNA is filed under the name Dothideomycetes sp. genotype 807 JMUR-2016. Its description in RNAcentral is "eukaryotic LSU rRNA". The stretch from base 220 to 816 matches the Rfam family "Eukaryotic large subunit ribosomal RNA", at positions 1 to 601 of the family's 3401-position model. The record is from RNAcentral. Lineage: Eukaryota; Fungi; Ascomycota; Dothideomycetes.